This 777-nucleotide ribosomal RNA is filed under the name uncultured Neocallimastigales. Its description in RNAcentral is "partial large subunit ribosomal RNA". It matches the Rfam family "Eukaryotic large subunit ribosomal RNA", at positions 24 to 644 of the family's 3401-position model. The record is from RNAcentral. Lineage: Eukaryota; Fungi; Neocallimastigomycota; Neocallimastigomycetes; Neocallimastigales.
UACGACUACAUAUCAGGCAUAUCAAUAAGCGGAGGAAAAGAAACUAACAAGGAUUCCCUUAGUAACGGCGAGUGAAGCGGGAAGAGCUCAAAUUUGAAAUCUUCAAGGUUCUACCUUGACGAAUUGUAGUUUAAAGAAGUGCUUUCUGUUGAAGUCUCGGUAAAAGUUCUUUGGAAUAGGACAUCAUAGAGGGUGAGAAUCCCGCAUUUGACCAUUAUUUCAGCUGUGUGAUACACUUUCAAAGAGUCGGAUUGUUUGGGAAUGCAGUCCAAACUGGGUGGUAAAUUUCAUCUAAAGCUAAAUAUUGGCGAGAGACCGAUAGCGAACAAGUACCGUGAGGGAAAGAUGAAAAGAACUUUGAAAAGAGAGUUAAACAGUACGUGAAAUUGUCAAAAGGGAAGCGUUUGACACCAGUGUUGUUUUCUCGAAAAUCAAUUAAAAAGUAUGGGAUUUUGUAUUGUUAAGACCUUAUCAGCUUACGGUACUUUUUUCUUAUUCUUUUUAAUGCACUUCUCGUUUAACAAGUCAACAUCAAUUUCUUUUGUUGUAAAAGAGUCAUUGGAAGGUGGCUUUCACUUCGGUGAAAGUGUUUAUAGCCUUUGGCUUCUGCAAUCGGAGAGAUUGAGGUCUGCAGCGUAGAUCCUUCGGGGUUAGAUACAUUAGAUGCUAAGUUAUAGCUUUUCAUAGACAACUUGUUGACUAUGAUUAAGUCAUGUAGCUUACUCGCUUAUGCGCUAUUUUACCUACGCUUAGGAUGUUGAAUCUGUGCGAGACUAC